Molecule: ribosomal RNA, 248 nt
Filed under: uncultured Eubacterium sp.
Lineage: Bacteria; Bacillati; Bacillota; Clostridia; Eubacteriales; Eubacteriaceae
Description: partial 16S ribosomal RNA
Rfam family: Bacterial small subunit ribosomal RNA
Source: RNAcentral
UACGUAGGUGGCAAGCGUUGUCCGGAAUUACUGGGUGUAAAGGGAGCGUAGGCGGGAAGGCAAGUCAGAUGUGAAAUCCACAGGCUUAACCUGUGGCGUGCAUUUGAAACUGCCAUGCUGGAGUGCCGGAGAGGCAAGUGGAAUUCCUAGUGUAGCGGUGAAAUGCGUAGAUAUUAGGAAGAACACCAGUGGCGAAGGCGGGUUACUGGACGACAACUGACGGUGAGGCGCGAAAGCGUGGGGAGCAA